This 158-nucleotide ribosomal RNA is filed under the name uncultured bacterium. RNAcentral's name for it is "partial 16S ribosomal RNA". It matches the Rfam family "Bacterial small subunit ribosomal RNA", at positions 355 to 509 of the family's 1533-position model. The record is from RNAcentral.
UGAGGAAUAAUUGGUCAAUGGGCGGGAGCCUGAACCAGCCAAGCCGCGUGAAGGAAGAAGGCGCCAGGCGUCGUAAACUUCUUUUGUCGGGGAACAAAGGGCGCCACGCGUGGCGUUGUGAGUGUACCCGAAGAAAAAGCAUCGGCUAACUCCGUGCC